This 257-nucleotide long non-coding RNA is filed under the name Elaeis guineensis (African oil palm). RNAcentral's name for it is "long non-coding RNA (EGUI_LNC072935)". Lineage: Eukaryota; Viridiplantae; Streptophyta; Magnoliopsida; Arecales; Arecaceae. The record is from RNAcentral.
CACGCCCCACUUUAAUGUGCCAAAUGAAUGGAUAAGGAUGAUUGGUUGGCCAUUCACAUUCAAAAUAAAGUUUGAAUUUGAAUGGGCAAUCAAUCUUUGCACCUUAUCCCUUUUUUUAUGCCUCAUUUAUUACUUGAGAAAAGGUUUCUCAUGAAAUCACUCCAUGCACAAUAUAAGCCAUGCCUCAUGCCUUUAGUGGAUAAGGGAUGAGUUGGUGUCCAUUUGAAUUCAAAAUUUAAUUUGAAUUCAAAUGUGCA